GUGUAAUUGUGUGAUAAUUUUUGUUGUGAAGUAGCUAUGAGAAGGACUAUUAAGCUAAAAAGUAAUUUUGCAUUCAAUUUUAGUUAGUUCUAUUUACAACAAAUAGGCAAGAAGAAAGAAGGAAGGCCCUUAGACUUGGAACAGUUCAGGCCUGCUCUCCGAAGGCAGUUGGAACUCAUUGAAGAGGGCAGGAGGAAGAGGAGGGGG
Molecule: long non-coding RNA, 207 nt
Organism: Amphimedon queenslandica
Lineage: Eukaryota; Metazoa; Porifera; Demospongiae; Haplosclerida; Niphatidae
Exons: 3
Source: RefSeq, a predicted model, not a curated record